Molecule: long non-coding RNA, 4134 nt
Organism: Felis catus (domestic cat)
Lineage: Eukaryota; Metazoa; Chordata; Mammalia; Carnivora; Felidae
Exons: 2
Source: RefSeq, a predicted model, not a curated record
GUGGGGUGGGGCCUGAUGUGAUCACCUUGGCCCUGGCUUACCUCGUCCAUACAUGAAGGUGUUUGGGUUUUGGUUUUGGACUAGGAUCUGAUCCUGAAGGCUUCACUCAGUACAUAUGCUCAAGUCCUCAAACUUUUAGAGAAUGGUUUAACCCUUCCUGGCAAUGCUGCAAGCCCUGCCACGUGAACAAACUUGGGCUGGCCUGCGGUAGACACAUGGCCCAGUUCAGAGCCAUUACCCCAGCCACCUACACCCACUGCCAGCCAGCCAUACAUGUGAGUGAAACCACCCCAGACCAAACAGCCCCCAGUCACCCCACUAGCUGACUGCAGCUGCGAGAGUCAGCCCAGGUGAGACCAACUGGAGAACUGAACUGCCUGGCUGGGCUCAGCCCAAAUGGUCCGGAAGAAUCAGGAGCUACAAAAUAAUAAUUAUUUUAAGCCACUGUGUUUCGGGUGGGUGUUUCGGGUUAAAAAAAAAAAAAGCUAACUGACAUACCCUGGACCAGAGUAGUUUCUAGGCAACAAAUAUCACUUACCUGGAUUCUGGGUCUUGAAAGUUGAAAAAUUCCUUCUGUUUCCAGACUGGUUUCUUCAAUUUUUUGAAUGAAUUUUUAUGAGAUGAACUUAUUUAAAAAAAUUUUUUUUAAUAUUUAUUUUUGAGAGAGCGUGAGUGGGGGAGGAGCAGAGAGAGGAAGACACAGAAUCCGAAGCAGGCUCCAGGCUCCGAGCUGUCAGCACAGAGCUGUCAGCACAGAGCCCGAGGCCGGGCUCGAACUGAAGAACAAUGAGAUCAUGACCUGACCCGGAGUCAGCGGCUUAAUAACCGACUGAGCCUUGGAGGUGCCCCUUAUGAGAUGAACUUUAAUGCCUGGGAUCUUUUGGUCAUUUUUCCCCUAGUAGGACUGAAAGUGGCUUUUCAAAAAACAAACAAAAACCAGUUGCUCUGUUUUGCAUCUAUUUUCGUUUGCAGAGCAUCUGAAUAGGCAAUUAAGGGAGAAAUCAUGAUUCUAUUUCAUAUUUUCGAUACUUCUCUUGGUUAAAUGAUGCAUCCCUAGCUGGGCUCAAGGAGGUGCUAGAGGUGGCCAGCUACAAGGGGGAGGGGAGUAACAGCCACCUGUUGGGCACAGCCCAUUGCCAACUGGAACAAAGCCCUGGAAUCUGGAGAGAAGCCUCUAACUUGCAGUGUCCCUCCAGCGCCCUCUACUGACAAGACCUGACCUCAUGCCAGCUGAUAAAUAUUGGAAUUAAGAGGCAAUCAAUCAAAAAUUGGCCCGGUGACUAAUGGGCUCCCCAAAUGUUAAUAACAAUGAUAGUCAAGAGAAUGGCUAACAUUGAGUUCUCAGUGUUAUUUAUCUCUGAAUAAUCAGGAGACAGCUUAUGGGGAGAGAGGAUAGUGGUCCUUUCUGUGUCUAUGGUUUGUUCACCCUUCCCUAGGCUCAGAGCCUGAGUUGGCCCUGGGUAGCCAACUUUCCCCCUGGCAGGGCAGGCCCAUUGGGUGGAGCUGAGUCCAUCCCUGCUCCAAGGCAGGCAUGUGCCCGGGGGAUGGUGAGUCAGAGCUCUCUCCAACCCUCCACACCACAUUGCGGUGGUGGGACAAUGGGAAAUAAUCCAGGGGAGGAGCCAUGUCACCUCCAGAAACUCAGACAUCCAGACAGGAUGUGGAUCUGGUGCUGACACUCCUUGCCUCGCUUCCCUGCUAGUUUUAAAAAUUCCUUUUUCUACCUAGCACUUACUAUCCUCUGACAUGUAUGUUUCCCUUCUUGGUUUCCUUAAUCUCCUCCUCUGAAAGGUAAGCUUUUAUAAAGGGAGAGACUGAGGUCUGAUUUGUUCCCUGCCGGGUCCCCAGAUCUAGAACGGUGCCUGGUGCACAUGUUAGGCAAGCAAUAAAUAUGUGAAUGUAUGAAUGAGUCAUUAACAAUUAUACCACCUAGGACAGGGGCAGAUGCAACUUACCUCAGCAUAGCUUCCUGGGCCCCCAACUGGGUCUUAAGACAUCAGUGACAUUGUCUGCAUAACAUUGGUUCUCACUGGGUCUGGAAAAUUUGAGUCUUCUAAUUCUACAGUGCCUUGAAUACCCAGGACUUAACACCAGUUAAAGAAUUUUUGAUAGGGGCGCCUGGGUGGCUCACUCGGUUAAGCGUCCGACUUCGGCUCAGGUCAUGAUCUCGCGGUCCGUGAGUUCGAGCCCCGCAUCGGGCUCUGUGCUGCCAGCUCAGAGCCUGGAGCCUGUUUCAGAUUCUGUGUCUCCCUCUCUCUGACCCUCCCCCAUUCAUGCUCUGUCUCUCUCUGUCUCAAAAAUAAAUAAACAUUUAAAAAAAUUAAAAAAAGAAUUUUUGAUGAAUUCAGUGCGUUGUCCAUUUGGUAACAUGAACAUCUUAUCUUGUGAGUUGGUUUCUAGUGAAUCACCCUAUUUCCUUAUUUUCACUCCAGUCCUCAGCCAUGUGUAAUUUCUUCCUGCAAUCCAAAAUGAAAACAUUUUGAAAUAAUGCCAACAGAUAAAAAAUUUCAAAUAGGGGCGCCUGGGUGGCUCAGUCAGUUGAGUGCCCGACUUCGGCUUAGGUCAUGAUCUCGUGGUUUGUGGAUUCGAGCCCCGCGACGGGCUCUGUGUUGACAGCUCAGAGCCUGGAGCCUGUUUCGGAUUCUUUGUCUCUGUCUCUCUCUCUCUCUCAAAAAUAAACAUUAAAAAAAUUUUCAAAUAAUGACAUUUGUCAGGUAGGUACUCUGAAAAACUCAUGAUGCAAGCGUGAAUAUACAUUAUUUAAAAAAUAUUCAUCAAUUGUCGGUGGAUAAUCAUUUCCGAAUUAAGGAAAAUUACUCAUAAAAAUACAAGGACAUUUCCUGUGCAUACACAAAUGUUUCCCUUUUUUUCCCUCCUUUUUAGAGUUCUACAAAUGUAGAAACAUACAUUCAGUUGUUUCAAAUAAACUUUUUAUUUUGGAAGAAUUUUGAAUUUGCAGAAAAGUUGCAGAGACAGUACAGAGAAUUCUUGUAUGCCCUUAACCCAGUUUCCCCUAAUGUUAACAUAUUACAUAGCCAUGGACAUGUAUCAAAACGAAGAAAUUAAUGUUGGUACACUACCAUUAAUCUUCAGACUUUAUUUGGAUUGUGCCAUUUUUUCCACUAAUAUAUCUGGUCUUCCAGGCUCCAAUCUAGGAUAACAAUUUGCACUGAGCAUAUAUUCAGUUUUGGGCUUUGCGUUUUUAUCGAUAAACAAUAUAUCUUGGAGAUGGUUUCAUAUCAGCAAAUAUAAAUGCGGCUCCCUUUAAACCUAGCCACAUAGUAUUCCGUGGUGUGAAAAGAGAAUUAGAGAACUAUUUCUUUUCUGACAUGAUUUAUGCUGUUUUUCAGGGAUUGCUUUUAGGUUAUUCUCGUACAGAGCAUCUUUGCACACACUUGUGAGUGCAUAUGCAGAAUAGAUUCCCAGAGGUGGAAUCACGUGGUCAAAGGGGUGAGAGUUUUACAUUUUCGGGACUAAGCUUACCUGUCCUCGUGUAAGGAAUGUAAACCACAGCGGGUGUAGACAGAGGCGUGUGCCUGCCCGAUGGCUUGUACGGUGUAUUCUUUCCAUUCUAUACUCUCAGAUGAUGAAAGAAACAUUGACCCAGUGGGGCAGGAGAGGGAGAUAAGCCUGGGGAGGUGGCAAGGAGACAAGCCAUAAGGGACCUUCAGUGCCAGGCAGAGGUGCUGGACGUUAUCCCGAGGACACUGGGGAGCCGAGUAGGAUUAGAGGCUGGAUCAAGCCAUGGACAGACGUGGUCAGGUAGAGAUGUGGUAAGAAGAAACAUCAAAUGGCUACCUCUCCCUUGGGUGGCCCCGGGAGCCUCACUCGGCCCUCACGUCUCUCUCCUUCCCUCUCACCCACAGGAGUGGGCAUGUGAGCGGAGGGACCAGGGCGGACAAACCUGUUCUGCCGGCCGAGGCCUGCCUCGGACAGGCCACGCUGCCGCCAGUCCGGCUGAGUGAACUACACUCUGCAGGCGUGUGACCAGAUGGAGCCAAGGAAGGUGGUGGCAGAUGUGGGACAGAGGUGGAAGCCUGCCUACCCGCCCUCUCCGAAGCCAGCGCAACCCCCAGCCCCAGCAUUUGGCAGGGCCUGGCCUGUUUUAACUGUUCCGGUAAAAUUCGAAACUGU